This 466-nucleotide ribosomal RNA is filed under the name uncultured bacterium. RNAcentral describes it as "partial 16S ribosomal RNA". It matches the Rfam family "Bacterial small subunit ribosomal RNA", at positions 28 to 507 of the family's 1533-position model. The record is from RNAcentral.
GACGAACGCUGGCGGUGUGCUUAACACAUGCAAGUCGAACGGUAAGGCCCUUUCGGGGGUACACGAGUGGCGAACGGGUGAGUAACACGUGAGUAACCUGCCCUCAUCUCUGGGAUAACAGUCGGAAACGGUUGCUAAUACUGGAUAUGAGCUUGCAAGACAUCUUGUGGGUUGGAAAGAUUUUUUUGGUUGGGGAUGGACUCGCGGCCUAUCAGCUUGUUGGUGAGGUAGUGGCUCACCAAGGCUUCGACGGGUAGCCGGCCUGAGAGGGCGACCGGCCACAUUGGGACUGAGAUACGGCCCAAACUCCUACGGGAGGCAGCAGUGGGGAAUAUUGCACAAUGGACGGAAGUCCGAUGCAGCAACGCCGCGUGCGGGAUGACGGCCUUCGGGUUGUAAACCGCUUUCAAUUGUGACGAAGCUUUUUGUGACGGUAGCAGUAGAAGAAGCACCGGCUAACUACGUG